UAUUAGCGCGUUAGGGAUUGCAGCGGCAUCCUUUUUAAUACUCGACUUGACUAAAGAUAGUUUUUAAACUAUACAGUAACAGAUUGCCACGUCGCUCGCUCCUCGCAAUGACAUAUUAAAAAGAUAUAGCGGAAAGCCCGACCCCUU
RNAcentral lists this small RNA (147 nucleotides) under Algibacter luteus. RNAcentral's name for it is "Arenitalea lutea Flavo-1 RNA". It matches the Rfam family "Flavo-1 RNA". The record is from Rfam by way of RNAcentral. Lineage: Bacteria; Pseudomonadati; Bacteroidota; Flavobacteriia; Flavobacteriales; Flavobacteriaceae.